Molecule: long non-coding RNA, 236 nt
Filed under: Physcomitrium patens
Lineage: Eukaryota; Viridiplantae; Streptophyta; Bryopsida; Funariales; Funariaceae
Description: long non-coding RNA (PPAT_LNC006796)
Source: RNAcentral
AUAAGUAUGGAGGGUACUUGGUUCGAUGACACCGGUGGAGCAUAUUGCUGAUACCUCUGCUGCUUCUUCCCGUAAUUCUAGGGGUUUGAUGCAGACCCCUGAUUAAAAUUGGAACUUUGAAAAUUAUUGAAUGUUCAAUUUUAUCUAUUAGAUUGAUUUUCAUUCCAUCCAUACGUAUUUUCUAUUUGAACUUCAUUGACUUCCCAUUGAAUUAGUGGGAUCAUGGUCUGAUUACU